This 467-nucleotide ribosomal RNA is filed under the name uncultured bacterium. RNAcentral's name for it is "partial 16S ribosomal RNA". It matches the Rfam family "Bacterial small subunit ribosomal RNA", at positions 30 to 507 of the family's 1533-position model. The record is from RNAcentral.
AGUGAACGCUGGCGGUAGGCCUAACACAUGCAAGUCGAACGGCAGCACAGUAAGAGCUUGCUCUUACGGGUGGCGAGUGGCGGACGGGUGAGGAAUUCAUCGGAAUCUACUUUUUCGUGGGGGCUAACGUAGGGAAACUUACGCUAAUACCGCAUACGACCUACGGGUGAAAGCAGGCGAUCUUCUGACCUUGCGCGAUUGGAUGGGCCGAUGUCGGAGUAGCUAGUUGGCGGGUGAAAGGCGCACCACGGCGACGAUCCGUAGCUGGGCUGAGAGGAUGAGCAGCCACACCGGGACGGAGACACGGCCGAGACUCCUAGGGGAGGGGGCAGUGGGGGAUCCUGCGCAAUCGGCGAGGGCCAGACGGACCUAUGGCUCGUAAAUGCUGAUGGUCUGAGGGAAAAGCAGCAGGUUAACACGGCGCUGUAAUGACGGUACCCAAAGAAGAAGCACCGGCUAACUUCGUG